RNAcentral lists this ribosomal RNA (500 nucleotides) under uncultured bacterium. Its description in RNAcentral is "partial 16S ribosomal RNA". It matches the Rfam family "Bacterial small subunit ribosomal RNA", at positions 30 to 523 of the family's 1533-position model. The record is from RNAcentral.
AUUGAACGCUGGCGGAAUGCUUUACACAUGCAAGUCGAACGGCAGCACGGACUUCGGUCUGGUGGCGAGUGGCGAACGGGUGAGUAAUGUAUCGGAACGUGCCCAGUCGUGGGGGAUAACGUAGUGAAAAUUACGCUAAUACCGCAUACGAUCUAUGGAUGAAAGCGGGGGAUCGCAAGACCUCGCGCGAUUGGAGCGGCCGAUAUCAGAUUAGGUAGUUGGUGGGGUAAAGGCACACCAAGCCAACGAACUGUAGCUGGUCUGAGAGGACGACCAGCCACACUGGAACUGAGACACGGUCCAGACUCCGACGGGAGGCAGCAGUGGGGAAUUUUGGACAAUGGGCGAAAGCCUGAUUCAGCCAUUCCGCGUGCAGGAUGAAGGCCCUCGGGUUGUAAACUGCUUUUGUACAGAACGAAAAGGUUUCUACUAAUACUAGGAGCUCAUGACGGUACUGUAAGAAGAAGCACCGGCUAACUACGUGCCAGCAGCCGCAGUAA